CCCCUCUUAAGCCACGCCCCCUCACUUACAUACACGAGCGUCGCGUCUGAUUGGUUCAUCAGAUUGGUACCUCGUGGCAGACAUUGGUCAAAGUUUUUACAGACUUACAAACUGAUACAGAUGAUGGAUUUUCUUUGUUCCUUUUUCAGAGAACCUGAGUUAUUAAUUUCUGUCAGGACCUAAAGACAAUUUACACCAGAAUCUUAAAAAGUGGAUCUGGAGGAAAUGACCAACUCUGAGUUUAAAUAACGUCUUAAUGCAACACGUUAAAUAAACCUUACAGGUGGAGUCAGUAGCAUCACGUUCUAUAAUUUAAUCUUUGAUCACAUCAAGUCAAAUUUCCCUUCAGGACUUUUUCUUCUUCCUGUCCGACCUGACGGACGAGUCGGAGACGACACCGAUCGACUUGAUCUGAAACUUUCAGACGUCACAGCUUUAGACUGGAGUUAAAGAAACACCUGAAUGAAUCAGAAUAACUUUAUAUUUACUGACAGAGACAAACUCCUCCUCUCAGGAGAGAGACUCCUCCAUGAUGACAUUUACAAGAUCAAUAAAACACAACAGCAGAUAGAAAGAGGGAUUCAGAUCAAGUGUAGAUACUUUAUUGAUCCCGAGGGAAAUUCAAAGCAUCCAGUAGCAGGUUACAAAGACGUACAUGACAUGAAACAUUUGUUACAAAUUAACCACAAAACCGACCCCCCCCCCCCCCCCCCCUCCCAUACAUAUAUAUUAACCUGAAAAAAAGAUUUAAAGAAUACCCCUAGAUGAAUCAAACUUAAACUAUGCAAUUAAAAAGAUUUAAAAAG
This is a long non-coding RNA of Labrus mixtus (cuckoo wrasse), 806 nucleotides long. RefSeq lists it as uncharacterized. Lineage: Eukaryota; Metazoa; Chordata; Actinopteri; Labriformes; Labridae. The transcript is spliced from 2 exons. The record is from RefSeq and is a predicted model, not a curated record.